UACGUAGGGCGCAAGCGUUGUCCGGAAUUAUUGGGCGUAAAGAGCUCGUAGGCGGUUUGUCGCGUCUGCUGUGAAAGCCCGGGGCUCAACCCCGGGUCUGCAGUGGGUACGGGCAGACUAGAGUGCAGUAGGGGAGACUGGAAUUCCUGGUGUAGCGGUGAAAUGCGCAGGAUAAUCAGGAGGAACACCGAUGGCGAAAGGGCAGGUCUCCUGGGCUGUUGCUGACGCUGGAGGAGCGAAAGCAUGGGG
This 249-nucleotide ribosomal RNA is filed under the name uncultured bacterium. RNAcentral describes it as "partial 16S ribosomal RNA". It matches the Rfam family "Bacterial small subunit ribosomal RNA", at positions 524 to 766 of the family's 1533-position model. The record is from RNAcentral.